This 252-nucleotide ribosomal RNA is filed under the name uncultured bacterium. RNAcentral describes it as "partial 16S ribosomal RNA". It matches the Rfam family "Bacterial small subunit ribosomal RNA", at positions 524 to 776 of the family's 1533-position model. The record is from RNAcentral.
UACGUAGGGGGCAAGCGUUGUCCGGAAUUAUUGGGCGUAAAGCGCGCGCAGGCGGUCAGUUAAGUUGGGUGUUUAAGCCCGGGGCUCAACCCCGGUACGCAUCCAAAACUGGUUGACUUGAGUGUAGGAGAGGAAAGUGGAAUUCCCGGUGUAGCAGUGAAAUGCGUAGAGAUCGGGAGGAACAUCAGUUGCGAAGGCGGCUCUCUGGACCAGCACUGACACUGAGGCACGAAAGCGUGGGGAGCAAACAGG